Molecule: ribosomal RNA, 484 nt
Filed under: uncultured bacterium
Lineage: Bacteria
Description: partial 16S ribosomal RNA
Rfam family: Bacterial small subunit ribosomal RNA
Source: RNAcentral
AUUGAACGCUGGCGGCAUGCUUUACACAUGCAAGUCGAACGGCAGCGCGGGCUUCGGCCUGGCGGCGAGUGGCGAACGGGUGAGUAAUACAUCGGAACGUGCCCAGUAGUGGGGGAUAGCUCGGCGAAAGCCGGAUUAAUACCGCAUACGACCUGAGGGUGAAAGCGGGGGAUCUUCGGACCUCGCGCUAUUGGAGCGGCCGAUGGCAGAUUAGCUAGUUGGUGGGGUAAAGGCCUACCAAGGCGACGAUCUGUAGCUGGUCUGAGAGGACGACCAGCCACACUGGGACUGAGACACGGCCCAGACUCCUACGGGAGGCAGCAGUGGGGAAUUUUGGACAAUGGGCGAAAGCCUGAUCCAGCAAUGCCGCGUGUGUGAUGAAGGCCUUCGGGUUGUAAAGCACUUUUGGCGGGAACGAAAAGGACUGUGCCAAUACCACGGUUCGAUGACGGUACCCGCAGAAUAAGCACCGGCUAUCUACGUG